CAUGAAUCUUAUCAAUAGGAUAUUGAAAACACUCAAAUUUUUACAGCAUGAGGCCAAAAUUAUUUUCACCCAAAUCUUAACAGUUUUUUACUUUCCCGCAUUUUGGUCCAUUUCACUUAUUAUUCCUGUUCUCCUGGGAUGAACAAGCCAAUCAUCAACAUGUUCGAAACCAGACGAGACGCAGUUCUUCUUCCAAACGUGUCCUUCCUUCUUCUCAAACAGUAUCACCACCUACUAAUAAGCGGUCCAAGGUGAGUGAGGCGUCGUAACGGAUGAAUGAUGUAUCUGCACGACCGCCGGCGCCGACGACUGAAACCACAAAUUCUGGUUAUGAAUCUCGAGACCCCGAGCUCCAAUCCCCUGAUCCUCAGAACGCUGAUUUUGCCAAGACCCUUGUCGCAAACAGACGGGAUGAUGUUGACAUGGAAGCCGAUGCCUUGGUGUCUCCUUUGACUCCAGGUGUGAUUUUGCUCUUGCAUGCUUUUUGUCUAUGAAAGAUGAU
Molecule: long non-coding RNA, 502 nt
Organism: Mangifera indica (mango)
Lineage: Eukaryota; Viridiplantae; Streptophyta; Magnoliopsida; Sapindales; Anacardiaceae
Exons: 2
Source: RefSeq, a predicted model, not a curated record